AGAAUCAACGCUGGCGGCGUGCUAACACAUGCAAGUCGAACGAGAAAGUGGAGCAAUCCAUGAGUAAAGUGGCGACCGGGUGAGUAACACGUGACUAACCUACCUUCGAGUGGGGAAUAACCUCGGGAAACCGGGGCUAAUACCGCAUAACGUCUUCGGACCAAAGGAGCAAUUCGCUUGAAGAGGGGGUCGCGGCCGAUUAGCUAGUUAGCGGGGUAAUGGCCCACCAAGACAGUGAUCGGUAUCCGGCCUGAGAGGGCGCACGGACACACUGGAACUGAAACACGGUCCAGACUCCUACGGGAGGCAGCAGUGGGGAAUUUUGCGCAAUGGGGGAAACCCUGACGCAGCAACGCCGCGUGGAGGAUGAAGUCCUUCGGGACGUAAACUCCUUUCGAUCGGGACGAUAAUGACGGUACCGGAAGAAGAAGCCCCGGCUAACUUCGUGCCAGCAGCCGCGGUAAUACGAGGGGGGCGAGCGUUGUUCGGAAUUACUGGGCGUAAAGGGCGCGUAGGCGGGUGUUUAAGUCAGAGGUCAAAUCCCAGGGCUCAACCCUGGAACUGCCUUUGAUACUGGACAUCUAGAGUUCGGGAGAGGUGUGUGGAACUCCGAGUGUAGAGGUGAAAUUCGUAGAUAUCGGGAGGAACACCUGUGGCGAAAGCGGCUCACUGGACCAUUACUGACGCUGAUGCACGAAAGCUAGGGGAGCAAACAGGAUUAGAUACCCUGGUAGUCCUAGCCCUAAACGAUGAUCGCUUGGUGUGACAGGUACCCAAUCCUGUCGUGCCGGAGCUAACGCGUUAAGCGAUCCGCCUGGGGAGUACGGUCGCAAGGCUGAA
This 840-nucleotide ribosomal RNA is filed under the name uncultured bacterium. RNAcentral describes it as "bacterial SSU rRNA". It matches the Rfam family "Bacterial small subunit ribosomal RNA", at positions 26 to 898 of the family's 1533-position model. The record is from RNAcentral.